UAAUAAUAGUGAUAAUCAUCAAAAUCAUCAUCAUGGAAGUAGCAUUGAAGUGGCAGAAGGGGAGGGAAGAAAUGGAAAUGGAAAUGGAAAUGGAAAUGGGAAUGGGAAUGGGAAUGGGAGAAGGUUUUCAUUUCCAUGGCCUUUCAAUAGUUUGUUCUCCUCUUCCUCUGGAUCACAAUCCAGUGGAAGCAAUUCGAGCUCAACCUCAUUGGCAAAUGCUACUGGAAGUGCUUCUCAAACAGAUGAGAAUUGAGUUUGAUUUUCUUACUACCUUCAUGUUCUCUAAGUUGCUUGAAUGUGUGUUGCUUGUUUAUGUACAUAGUAUGUUACUAUUUAAGCCUGAAUCUUUGAACAAAAGAUUGUGUUUUGAGCUGCCAGCCUUUUUUAUUUAUUUAUUUUGCAAGAAGAAAUAUCAGCUCCUUCUAUUUCAAAAAAAAAA
This 439-nucleotide unclassified non-coding RNA is filed under the name Hevea brasiliensis (rubber tree). The record is from RNAcentral. Lineage: Eukaryota; Viridiplantae; Streptophyta; Magnoliopsida; Malpighiales; Euphorbiaceae.